UACGAAGGGGGCUAGCGUUGUUCGGAAUCACUGGGCGUAAAGCGCACGUAGGCGGAUUUUUAAGUCAGGGGUGAAAUCCCGGGGCUCAACCUCGGAACUGCCUUUGAUACUGGAGAUCUUGAGUCCGGAAGAGGUAAGUGGAACUGCGAGUGUAGAGGUGAAAUUCGUAGAUAUUCGCAAGAACACCGGUGGCGAAGGCGGGUCUCUGGGCAUCUCCUGACGCUGAGGCGCGAAAGCGUGGGGAGCAAACGGG
Molecule: ribosomal RNA, 253 nt
Filed under: uncultured bacterium
Lineage: Bacteria
Description: partial 16S ribosomal RNA
Rfam family: Bacterial small subunit ribosomal RNA
Source: RNAcentral